CAUUUAAAUCAAUAUGCCCAGUGCUUAGGAUCAAGAUGAGUGCUUUAAACAACAUGCACAACUUUCCCAAUUCAUCUGUUGAUGACAGGUAAAGCAGCUGAACUGCAUUUGAAAUCACCAACAUCUGAGAUUCUCAGGAAGCAAAAGCUGGAUACUUCUGCCUAUGUCUGAGCAUGAAGGAUGCAAUUCACAGUAAGAAUCCUGAUACCUGUUUUCAUUCAGCGGACUCAGAGUGCGUAUAUGGAAAAGCUGCUCCUGUGGGCUGAGAGCUAAUCUAAGGACUGUUGCUAAGUGGUUGCCGGUUUUACUCAACAUGAGAACUACUCACCCUCUUCAUUUAC
Molecule: long non-coding RNA, 341 nt
Filed under: Numida meleagris (helmeted guineafowl)
Lineage: Eukaryota; Metazoa; Chordata; Aves; Galliformes; Numididae
Description: lncRNA (ENSNMEG00000011455.1)
Source: RNAcentral